This 413-nucleotide ribosomal RNA is filed under the name uncultured bacterium. Its description in RNAcentral is "bacterial SSU rRNA". It matches the Rfam family "Bacterial small subunit ribosomal RNA", at positions 945 to 1359 of the family's 1533-position model. The record is from RNAcentral.
CUUAAUUCGACGCAACGCGAAGAACCUUACCAAGGCUUGACAUGCAGGGAAAUCCUCCAGAGAUGGGGGGUCCGCAAGGGUCCUGCACAGGUGGUGCAUGGUUGUCGUCAGCUCGUGUCGUGAGAUGUUGGGUUAAGUCCCGCAACGAGCGCAACCCUCGUUCUAUGUUGCCAGCGCGUGAUGGCGGGGACUCAUAGGAGACUGCCGGGGUCAACUCGGAGGAAGGUGGGGACGACGUCAAAUCAUCAUGCCCCUUAUGUCUUGGGCUGCACACAUGCUACAAUGGCCGGUACAAAGGGCUGCUAAACCGUGAGGUGGAGCGAAUCCCAAAAAGCCGGUCUCAGUUCGGAUUGGGGUCUGCAACUCGACCCCAUGAAGUCGGAGUUGCUAGUAAUCGCAGAUCAGCAACGCUG